This 741-nucleotide long non-coding RNA is filed under the name Parus major (Great Tit). RNAcentral's name for it is "lncRNA (ENSPMJG00000003598.1)". Lineage: Eukaryota; Metazoa; Chordata; Aves; Passeriformes; Paridae. The record is from RNAcentral.
CGAAUAAUGAGUCAUUGUAAGAGUGAAGAAGAACAUGAGGAACAUACAUUGCAGGGAAUGCACUGCUCCCCAUCGCAGCACCAAAGAGGAAAAAACCUACAGCACUCUUUAGCACAUCAGAGUUUACUAAACAGAGCAGAAAACAGCCAAAACCAGGAAUUUGAUGAGGGUAAGAAGCACAGCAGAUUUUACAUAACAGGAGGUGACACAGGUGAUGGGAGAAACAAAGGCUGCUGCUGUGCAGGGAGAAAUGUUUAGAGGAUGUUCUGGCCAGGAACAAAUGCAUGGCAAGAUUUGACAAGGCAUUGCCAACAUGACCUUAGAGCUUUCCUCCUCAUGCUAAAGAUACCACCUUUGACAUUGUGAGGUGCACUGCAGAACUGCAUCUCUUAAUGGAAGUUCCCAGGCAAGCUGCCAGUGCUCUGCAAACAGAUAAAUUUAUGGUCUUUCAGGUACAAACAGGCAUGAUUUGUGGUCUGGAGGAGGAUGUGGUUCUUUCCAUUUGUUCUCCCUCUCCCCUUCUAAGCCUUCCAAAGCACACAUGAGAGUGGCUCAGCAGUGUAAUUGUCACAGGUCUGGUAAGCUGGGGCAAUCAAGGUUACUUACAUACCUUCAGCAAAAAUAGGUAAAAUUUCCAUAAUCCAUUAAUCAUUCUGAAAAAUACUGUGUUGGCCUCACUGGUACAACCCAAGACACCCAGGAACCAUAUGCUUUAUUCUUAUUUCUGCCACUGAAUCUGUG